GUGGGUAUUUAUUCUAGAAAGUGCAUCAUCUUCGUCGAAGAGUUAUGUUCUGAAUCCGCCACUGGCCUGGACAACCACCUUCACCACGUCCUAGGGACCUAAGCUAUUGAUCGAAACCGGGAAACGAAGGAAGGAACGCGAAACCAGCUGCGCCGCGAAUCAUAUUGCCGCCCCUCCAUCGAGCUGGAAAACGUAACGCGUUUGCGCGUUUACAUGGAACGACCGGCUACGCGUUAGCUGUUACUUUACAAGGAUAACGUUUAAUGAGAAGGGAAACCGGUAGUCCGGACCGGAAAUGAUAAGCCAAUCGAAUUUUCCUUACGAGAGAUUUAUUUUCGCGUUCAAAAUAAUAUUAGAAAUUUUAUUUAAAAUUUGUAUAUAUUGUGAUAUCAUGGUUUUUAUUUUGCAUUUAUUUUAAAUUCGAAUAAUAUGAAUAUUUGAAAUUAACAUUUCAUCAGAUUUGGAUUGGAUUUUUAUAGUGGAUAUAGAAAUAUUUGUUGAUUAUGAAUAUUACAACUAAAAUAACACAAUAUUUACUUGUAUAAUAUAUGACACACUUUGAUUAAUUUUAUUUUUAGUUAAGACAAGUUCAAUGACCUACGACAAAAUAAUUAAAAAUUGACCAAAA
This 628-nucleotide long non-coding RNA is filed under the name Polistes fuscatus (common paper wasp). RNAcentral's name for it is "uncharacterized LOC122524028". Lineage: Eukaryota; Metazoa; Arthropoda; Insecta; Hymenoptera; Vespidae. The record is from RNAcentral.